This 453-nucleotide ribosomal RNA is filed under the name uncultured bacterium. RNAcentral's name for it is "bacterial SSU rRNA". It matches the Rfam family "Bacterial small subunit ribosomal RNA", at positions 340 to 786 of the family's 1533-position model. The record is from RNAcentral.
UACGGGAGGCAGCAGUGGGGAAUAUUGCACAAUGGGCGCAAGCCUGAUGCAGCCAUGCCGCGUGUAUGAAAAAGGCCUUCGGGUUGUAAAGUACUUUCAGUCGUGAGGAAGGUGUUAAGGUUAAUAACCUUAGCAAUUGACGUUAGCGACAGAAGAAGCACCGGCUAACUCCGUGCCAGCAGCCGCGGUAAUACGGAGGGUGCGAGCGUUAAUCGGAAUUACUGGGCGUAAAGGGCACGCAGGCGGUUAAUUAAGCUGGAUGUGAAAUCCCCGGGCUUAACCUGGGAAUGGCAUUCAAGACUGGUUAGCUAGAGUCUUGUAGAGGGGGUAGAAUUCCAUGUGUAGCGGUGAAAUGCGUAGAGAUGUGGAGGAAUACCGGUGGCGAAGGCGGCCCCUGGGACAAAGACUGACGCUCAUGUGCGAAAGCGUGGGGAGCAAACAGGAUUAGAUACC